RNAcentral lists this ribosomal RNA (266 nucleotides) under uncultured bacterium. RNAcentral's name for it is "partial 16S ribosomal RNA". It matches the Rfam family "Bacterial small subunit ribosomal RNA", at positions 92 to 353 of the family's 1533-position model. The record is from RNAcentral.
CGAGUGGCGAACGGGUGAGUAACGCGUGAGGAACCUACCUCAAAGAGGGGGACGAACAGUUGGAAACGACUGCUAAUACCGCAUAAGCCCACGGGUCAGCAUCGACCAGGGGGAAAAGGAGCAAUCCGCUUUGAGAUGGCCUCGCGUCCGAUUAGCUAGUUGGUGAGGUAAUGGCCCACCAAGGCAACGAUCGGUAGCCGGACUGAGAGGUUGAACGGCCACAUUGGGACUGAGACACGGCCCAGACUCCUACGGGAGGCAGCAUG